Long non-coding RNA from Branchiostoma floridae (Florida lancelet), 405 nucleotides. RefSeq lists it as uncharacterized. The transcript is spliced from 3 exons. The record is from RefSeq and is a predicted model, not a curated record. Lineage: Eukaryota; Metazoa; Chordata; Leptocardii; Amphioxiformes; Branchiostomatidae.
GAAUAAUGCCGACUGAUUAGUGUAGGAUAAAUACAGCGGCAUGCUAGAGUCUAAGAGACAGUCUGUAUGGAGGAAGCACAGUGGUAACACUUGGAUACACUGGGAUAUCCGCUGACCCGACUUGAAAGUUAAAGCCUGAUCUGUCGAACCCGUGACUUUCCCCGCGCUAAGAACACCUGGGUACGGUGGCUGGCUGGGGAACGUCGCAGGAGAGCUCUCGUCCGGCCCCUGACCAGUCUUAGCGCCCCCUCAAGUCUGUCUUUUCUUGUACAACUGGCCUGUUAUGAAAAGACAUUGACCAUGAAGCCUUCCUACUUCUGUCAAGUCCUCGUUGGUUUGCUGUGCUGGUCGCUUGUGUCGGUUUGUGCCACCCGCCAACCUCAACAGGUCAACAAUCGUGGGUUG